AUUGAACGCUGGCGGCAGGCCUAACACAUGCAAGUCGAGCGGCAGCGGAAAGUAGCUUGUUACUUUGCAGGCGAGCGGCUGACGGGUGAGUAAUGUCUGGGAAACUGCCUGAUGGAGGGGGCUCACUACUGGAAACGGUAGCUAAUACCGCAUAACGUCGCAAGACCAACGCGGGGGACCUUCGGGACUCUUGCCAUCAGACGGUCCCAGAUGGGAUUAGCUAGUAGGUGGGGUAAUGGCUAACCUAGGCGACGAGCCCUAGCUGGUCUGAGAGGAUGACCAGCCACACUGGAACUGAGACACGGUCCAGACUCCUACGGGAGGCAGCAGUGGGGAAUAUUGCACAAUGGGCGCAAGCCUGAUGCAGCCAUGCCGCGUGUAUGAAGAAGGCCUUCGGGUUGUAAAGUACUUUCAGCGGGGAGGAAGGUGCUGAGGUUAAUAACCUCGGCAAUUGACGUUACCCGCAGAAGAAGCACCGGCUAACUCCGUGCCAGCAGCCGCAGUAA
This 506-nucleotide ribosomal RNA is filed under the name uncultured bacterium. RNAcentral describes it as "partial 16S ribosomal RNA". It matches the Rfam family "Bacterial small subunit ribosomal RNA", at positions 30 to 523 of the family's 1533-position model. The record is from RNAcentral.